This 543-nucleotide long non-coding RNA is filed under the name Trifolium pratense (red clover). RNAcentral's name for it is "long non-coding RNA (TPRA_LNC011982)". The record is from RNAcentral. Lineage: Eukaryota; Viridiplantae; Streptophyta; Magnoliopsida; Fabales; Fabaceae.
UUAGUGUGUGUUUGGUUUAGCGGUGAAGUGAAUUGAGUUUGAUAGAAUUGAGUUUAAGAGAAUUGAUUUUGGUUAAAAGUAAAUUGAACAAAAUUGGUUUAUGUUUGGAUACAUUUUGUAAAAGUGAUUUUCUCCAAUUUAUAUUGUUUGGAUAGUUUAGAUCAAAAUUGCUUUUGGGGUGGUUAAUUACCAAAAUGGGUUUGUUAAGAAAUACUCCCUCCGUCCAAUAGUAUAAGAAAAAAAGACUAGUUUAGAUCAUAAUUUUUAUUGGUUAUUGAUUAUAAAAAAAAGAAAAGAUAGAGUAAAUUAAAUGCAACUAAUUUUAUGAAAAUAAGUAAAAGUAAAUUUUUUUUUUUGACAAAGUAAAAAUUGAUUUUUUUCUUAUAAUUUAAAACAUGAGAAAAUAUAAUUUUUUUUUUUUUUAUAAUACGGGACGGAAGAAAUAUCUAACAAAUAUUUUUAUUUUUUCUCAUUAAAUUAAUGGGCUUGUUAAGAAAAGAAAAUAAAUGGACUACAAAAGACCAUGGGUGAACGAUUCCCAAU